ACAGAAGACCCUAUUCCAUACAUUCAAGCACUUCCGAAUUUGGGACGGUUGCACCUUUUUAAUGCAUAUGAAGGAGGAGGACAAUUAUGCUUUAGUGAAGGGUUCCAUAAACUUAGAAAAUUGGAGUUGUGCAAUUUUCCUCAGUUAAAUGAGAUUGUUAUAGAGAGGGGGGUGAUGCCAGGUCUCCAAGAAUUUUCUAUUCGGAAAUGUAUGCAGUUGAAGAUACUGCCUCAUGGCAUCGAGUAUCUCGAAGAUCUCCAAGGAUUGUUUUUGACAUUUGUUACGAAUGAGCUCAUAGAAUGCAUACGUGGAGAAGGGAGCAAGGAUCACCAAAAGGUUCGGCAUAUUCCGAGCAUACACCAUUGGAGGCAGACACCUGUUGAACUGAAAUACGAACUAUUAUCUCGUUCCACAGAUAGGCUAUUCCAACAUAUCCGCCAGGGAGUAUUGCCCCUUAGCACCUACAGCAUAUCUGCAGGGAACCCCAUCGCACCUACAUCGGGGCCGAAGCUUAGGCGCUAAGGAAUAUGUUUAACCCCAACAAGGGGCUAUGGAGACUCGAACCCAAGCCUUGAGCGAGGGAUUCGAAGGUCUUAUCCACUGAACCAACCCCCGGUUGGUGCUUUCCAGGUUUCUAGCUUGCUAAAGAGUAUGAAGAACUAAACAUAGCGACGAGUUCACUUGAUUAACAAAAAGACAAGUGCCUCAGUCAUCUAUCUUGCAUGCUUGCUUGCUUUCCAUCAAGGAGGACAUGGUGAAUGUUUAGCUUUGUAAUUUCAUGUGUAUGAGAUGAAGAUUUCUUUAGGCAACCAACAACUUUAAUUAGCUUGUGGAUAUAUGCAAAGAGUUUAGACAGAA
Camellia sinensis is the source of this 858-nucleotide non-coding RNA. The record is from RefSeq and is a predicted model, not a curated record. NCBI's taxonomy places the organism in Eukaryota, Viridiplantae, Streptophyta, Magnoliopsida, Ericales, Theaceae.